CGGCGGACGGGUGAGUAAUGCCUAGGAAUCUGCCUGGUAGUGGGGGACAACGUUUCGAAAGGAACGCUAAUACCGCAUACGUCCUACGGGAGAAAGCAGGGGACCCUCGGGCCUUGCGCUAUCAGAUGAGCCUAGGUCGGAUUAGCUAGUUGGUGAGGUAAUGGCUCACCAAGGCGACGAUCCGUAACUGGUCUGAGAGGAUGAUCAGUCACACUGGAACUGAGACACGGUCCAGACUCCUACGGGAGGCAGCAGCC
This 257-nucleotide ribosomal RNA is filed under the name uncultured Pseudomonas sp. Its description in RNAcentral is "partial 16S ribosomal RNA". It matches the Rfam family "Bacterial small subunit ribosomal RNA", at positions 96 to 355 of the family's 1533-position model. The record is from RNAcentral. Lineage: Bacteria; Pseudomonadati; Pseudomonadota; Gammaproteobacteria; Pseudomonadales; Pseudomonadaceae.